GACGAACGCUGGCGGCGUGCUUAACACAUGCAAGUCGAACGGAAAGGCCCUGCUUUUGUGGGGUGCUCGAGUGGCGAACGGGUGAGUAACACUUGAGUAACCUGCCCUUGACUUUGGGAUAACUUCAUGAAACUGGGGCUAAUACCGGAUAGGAGCUCCUGCUUCAUGGUGGGGGUUGGAAAGUUUCGGCGGUUGGGGAUGGACUCGCGGCUUAUCAGCUUGUUGGUGGGGUAGUGGCUUACCAAGGCUUUGACGGGUAGCCGGCCUGAGAGGGUGACCGGCCAAAUUGGGACUGAGAUACGGCCCAGACUCCUACGGGAGGCAGAAGUGGGGAAUAUUGCAAAAUGGGCGGAAGCCUGAUGCAGCAAAGCCGCGUGCGGGAUGACGGCCUUCGGGUUGUAAACCGAUUUCGCCUGUGACGAAGCGUGAGUGACGGUAAUGGGUAAAGAAGCACCGGCUAACUACGUG
Molecule: ribosomal RNA, 468 nt
Filed under: uncultured bacterium
Lineage: Bacteria
Description: partial 16S ribosomal RNA
Rfam family: Bacterial small subunit ribosomal RNA
Source: RNAcentral